UCGAUUUGGAGUUUGUUGCCCUGAGUGAUGGGCUCCGAAGCUAACGCGAUAAAUCGACCGCCUGGGGAGUACGGCCGCAAGGUUAAAACUCAAAUGAAUUGACGGGGGCCCGCACAAGCGGUGGAGCAUGUGGUUUAAUUCGAUGCAACGCGAAGAACCUUACCUGGUCUUGACAUCCACAGAAUCUUGCAGAGAUGCGAGAGUGCCUUCGGGAACUGUGAGACAGGUGCUGCAUGGCUGUCGUCAGCUCGUGUUGUGAAAUGUUGGGUUAAGUCCCGCAACGAGCGCAACCCUUAUCCUUUGUUGCCAUUGGUUCGGCCGGGAACUCAAAGGAGACUGCCGUUGAUAAAGCGGAGGAAGGUGGGGACGACGUCAAGUCAUCAUGGCCCUUACGACUAGGGCUACACACGUGCUACAAUGGCGUAUACAAAGGGAGGCGACCUCGCGAGAGCAAGCGGACCUCAUAAAGUACGUCUAAGUCCGGAUUGGAGUCUGCAACUCGACUCCAUGAAGUCGGAAUCGCUAGUAAUCGUGAAUCAGAAUGUCACGGUGAAUACGUUCCCGGGCCU
RNAcentral lists this ribosomal RNA (569 nucleotides) under uncultured Gammaproteobacteria bacterium. Its description in RNAcentral is "bacterial SSU rRNA". It matches the Rfam family "Bacterial small subunit ribosomal RNA", at positions 812 to 1381 of the family's 1533-position model. Lineage: Bacteria; Pseudomonadati; Pseudomonadota; Gammaproteobacteria. The record is from RNAcentral.